CUUACCCAAACCUUAUAUAAGUCCCUGUUCCCCCUAAUAAAGUGGCAUUGCACCCCUGACCUUCAACUGAGUCCGAACCCUUUUGUGCAGAUCAGAAGAG
Molecule: long non-coding RNA, 100 nt
Organism: Lepidothrix coronata (blue-crowned manakin)
Lineage: Eukaryota; Metazoa; Chordata; Aves; Passeriformes; Pipridae
Exons: 3
Source: RefSeq, a predicted model, not a curated record